UGCUGUGCAAAUGAAUUCGGCCGUUUCU
This 28-nucleotide non-coding RNA is filed under the name Mus musculus (house mouse). The record is from RNAcentral. Lineage: Eukaryota; Metazoa; Chordata; Mammalia; Rodentia; Muridae.